RNAcentral lists this ribosomal RNA (369 nucleotides) under uncultured organism. RNAcentral describes it as "partial 16S ribosomal RNA". It matches the Rfam family "Bacterial small subunit ribosomal RNA", at positions 527 to 896 of the family's 1533-position model. The record is from RNAcentral.
GUAGGGUGCGAGCGUUAAUCGGAAUUACUGGGCGUAAAGCGUGCGCAGGCGGUUUUGUAAGACAGGCGUGAAAUCCCCGAGCUCAACUUGGGAAUGGCGCUUGUGACUGCAAGGCUAGAGUAUGUCAGAGGGGGGUAGAAUUCCACGUGUAGCAGUGAAAUGCGUAGAGAUGUGGAGGAAUACCGAUGGCGAAGGCAGCCCCCUGGGACGUCACUGACGCUCAUGCGCGAAAGCGUGGGGAGCAAACAGGAUUAGAUACCCUGGUAGUCCACGCCCUAAACGAUGUCAACUAGUUGUUGGGGAUUCAUUUCUUCAGUAACGUAGCUAACGCGUGAAGUUGACCGCCUGGGGAGUACGGUCGCAAGAUUA